GGGAACUACGAGCAUCAGCUUAAAACCCAAAGGACUUGGCGGUGCUUUAGACCCCCCUAGAGGAGCCUGUUCUAGAACCGAUAACCCCCGUUUGACCUCACCUUUUCUUGCCCCCCCCGCCUAUAUACCGCCGUCGUCAGCAUACCCUGUGAAGGAAACAUAGUAAGCAAAACUGG
RNAcentral lists this ribosomal RNA (176 nucleotides) under Priapella compressa (Palenque priapella). RNAcentral describes it as "partial 12S ribosomal RNA". Lineage: Eukaryota; Metazoa; Chordata; Actinopteri; Cyprinodontiformes; Poeciliidae. The record is from RNAcentral.